This 76-nucleotide transfer RNA is filed under the name Candidatus Methanoplasma porotermitis. RNAcentral's name for it is "tRNA-Gln". It matches the Rfam family "tRNA". From Rfam's summary of the family: Transfer RNA (tRNA) molecules are approximately 80 nucleotides in length. Their secondary structure includes four short double-helical elements and three loops (D, anti-codon, and T loops). Lineage: Archaea; Methanobacteriati; Thermoplasmatota; Thermoplasmata; Methanomassiliicoccales; Methanomassiliicoccaceae. The record is from RNAcentral.
AGCCCCAUAGUGUAGUGGUCAAUCAUGUGGGAUUCUGGAUCCUGCGACUGCAGUUCGAAUCUGCAUGGGGCUACCA